UACGUAGGUGGCAAGCGUUGUCCGGAUUUACUGGGUGUAAAGGGCGCGUAGGCGGGAAUACAAGUCAGAUGUGAAAUGCUGAGGCUUAACCUCAGAGCUGCAUUUGAAACUGUAUUUCUUGAGUAUCGGAGAGGCAGGCGGAAUUCCUAGUGUAGCGGUGAAAUGCGUAGAUAUUAGGAGGAACACCAGUGGCGAAGGCGGCCUGCUGGACGACAACUGACGCUGAUGCGCGAAAGCGUGGGGAGCAAACAGG
RNAcentral lists this ribosomal RNA (253 nucleotides) under uncultured bacterium. Its description in RNAcentral is "partial 16S ribosomal RNA". It matches the Rfam family "Bacterial small subunit ribosomal RNA", at positions 524 to 776 of the family's 1533-position model. The record is from RNAcentral.